Molecule: long non-coding RNA, 1313 nt
Organism: Musa acuminata AAA Group (dessert banana)
Lineage: Eukaryota; Viridiplantae; Streptophyta; Magnoliopsida; Zingiberales; Musaceae
Exons: 3
Source: RefSeq, a predicted model, not a curated record
GACGGAUCGGAUCCAUGACACGGGACCCAUUAAAGGGUCGAUCGAUUGGGCGACGAAGGCUGAAACCCUAACGUCUCCCGCUGCUCUUCGGUGCGCCUUCCUUCGUGUCGCCUCUCGCUGGAUGAUCUGUAUGCAUGGUUUUGUUUGGAGGACGCGAGCAGUAAUCCUGACGCAAAGAGUGCAGAAGAUCUGCUGAAGAUGAAGAUAAUGGAGCAGACGAACGGAGAUGAGGCGAGGCCCGAUCGCCAUUUUUAGUGUUAUUCUAAGUAAAAUCGCGCGACCCUACAACCCUAGAUCGGUGGUGCGCCUCCCCAUUCCGACGGUGCCGCACUCUCUCUCAGCGGUGUGUAUUUCUUAGUGCUGAUCCUUUCUUUAGCAGGCUUCUUCUUUGUAAUCUUUUGCUCUUAUUUUAAUUUCGGAUUUGUUAUACACCUCUGAUGUUGUCGGGGUGCUUAACCUGUUGAUCAGUCCUUGUGCAUAAGAACCUUCGAAUCAUCACAUGGAAGAUCCUCUGUUCAUGGUUCUGAUAUCUAUCAUUAUCUCAUUUAUACUUGCACAUAAAAAUUAUGAUCAUUAUUCUUACACUUAGGACAUACAUAAAAUUCAAUGUGCACUUGCCGGAUGAUGUUGGGAAAUUGCGCAAGGGCUUUGAGCACAGCAUGACAUUGCAAGUUGCAAUGAGAUAAUCUCAAGAUCUUCCCUCCUGACGGCAGUUAUUAUUGGGAGAUUGAAAAUAUUGUUUUUUAUUUAUUUUCCUUUUCUUUUGAUGUUCGCUUCUGUUCUCUGAAUUCACGUAGGUUGAAUUUGGAGAUGCCUUUGAAAGCUUCCAUUCUCGAUUUACCAAAAGCUUUUUCCUUUAGAGAGAUGACGAGAAUUGGUCUUAAUAUGUGAAGCUCUUUCUAGUUUUAAUGCUCAUUUAUAUUUUGGUGCCAACUUUUACACCUCAUUUUGAGGCUUUUUAACAUAAUUUGAUUGUUAUUGUUUUAGUAUUUUAAGUGGGAAUGAGGCUAGUGUGAACCCUUUUGGCUCUCAUCUGGAGGCUUUCUUUCCUCUUCUAUGCUAUAUGGAUUACAUGACACAAGUGAGCCUUUCUGAAGCUUCUGCAAAGAUCCUCUUCUAGUAGAGGUUGCAUAUUAACAAUUUCUACCGGUAGCAAAUUGACUUAGAAAUCUGGUGAAUGUGCUUAUGACGUGUUGCUCAGUCUCUGCUCAUGGUUCUGAGAUGAUCCAUCAAUAUCUCAGCUAAAAUUGCACAUAAAAAUUGUAUUUACAAUUAUGUUAUAUAAAAUUGAAUGUGCACUUGCAGUUGGCGCA